GACGAACGCUGGCGGCGUGCUUAAUACAUGCAAGUCAACUGAACUUAGGAUAGCAAUAUUUUAAGGGAGGUGGCGCACGGGUGAGUAACACGUAGGUAACCUGCCUUUAGGUCUGACAUAACCUACCGAAAGGUAGGCUAAAAUCAGAUGAUGCAGCGGCUCGACAUCGAGACAGUUGUUAAAUCUUCGGAGCCUAAAGAUGAGCCUGCGUCUGAUUAGGUAGUUGGCGGUGUAAUGGACCACCAAGCCUGCGAUCAGUAGCUGGUCUGAGAGGAUGAUCAGCCACACUGGAACUGAGACACGGUCCAGACUCCUACGGGAGGCAGCAGUAAGGAAUAUUGCUCAAUGGCCGAAGG
RNAcentral lists this ribosomal RNA (356 nucleotides) under uncultured bacterium. RNAcentral's name for it is "bacterial SSU rRNA". It matches the Rfam family "Bacterial small subunit ribosomal RNA", at positions 28 to 381 of the family's 1533-position model. The record is from RNAcentral.